CUCUCCUACGGGGCGCAGCAGUGGGGGAUAUUGCACAAUGGGGGGAACCCUGAUGCAGCGACGCCGCGUGGGCGAUGGAGUGCUUCGGCAUGUAAAGCCCUAUCAGCAGGGAAGAAAAUGACGGUACCUGACUAAGAAGCCCCGGCUAAAUACGUGCCAGCAGCCGCGGUAAUACGUAUGGGGCAAGCGUUAUCCGGAUUUACUGGGUGUAAAGGGCGUGUAGGCGGGCAUGCAAGCCAGAAGUGAAAUCUGGGGGCUUAACCCCCAAACUGCUUUUGGAACUGCGUGGCUUUAGUG
RNAcentral lists this ribosomal RNA (297 nucleotides) under uncultured bacterium. RNAcentral's name for it is "partial 16S ribosomal RNA". It matches the Rfam family "Bacterial small subunit ribosomal RNA", at positions 334 to 648 of the family's 1533-position model. The record is from RNAcentral.